CCAGGAUCCGACCACAUCCAUUGAUGCUACCUUGGCAGGGCCUGCAGUUUUCAGAACCAACAUGGAUGCGGCAGGGCAGCUGUUUUCUUUUUGCGGCUCAUCUCCGCCGACAGCCAGACCGUGGCCCCACGUCGCGUGCAGAGGAGGAGCCGCACUAGUAGUACUGCCGAUACAUCAGCUUCUCCCGUUCUCCGGCCAGGUGUCCACCACAUCUGUUGGGAAGCUCCUCUGCAGUUUCAGGAAGUGACAAGGCAAGAUGCACUGUUGCUGUUCAAAGACACUGGAGGCUUGGCUGUAAUUUGGAAUUGUACAAGAGCGCCGCGGGCUUGGCUGUAAUUUGGAGUUGUACAAGGUCACUGGAGGUUUGGCUGUAAUUUGGCUAUCAAGUACUUGUUAUCUUUAAGAUCUUUUGAUAAGAGUGCAUAAAAGUAUGCGGAAAGGCUGCUGUUGUUGAAGCCAUGGUGGUGAGUUCAGUGCGCCGCAACCGCGGUGGUGGUGUUAUCUCGGUUUCGGUUACAAUUCUCUCAGGAUACACCACUUGAAGGAAUCUAGAAGACCUGGAGCGGUGGCCUUCUUCUUCGACUCCAUGUUGUGUCUAGGUAGAUUCUGGUAAGUGCUAAGUGUUACGCCUUGUGCAUAGUAACCAUUGAUAAAGUGUAUUUGGUUUUUCAUAGUAGCUUAAUUGUACUCGUUUCUUUUCUAAUAUGCAAUCUUUUUCUAAUAUGUGAGGUGCAUGAGAGUAUGCUCAGUCGACCUAGAUAGCGAGUUAACCGUGCCGCAACUGCGUUGGUGGUGCUAUCACGGAUGUGCCUGAAAUUCUGUCAGGGCAAGGAGGAGCACUAAGAACCGGCAAGCUGGAUGGAGCUAUAGUCGGUAGCUGGAGUACACAGGGACAACCAAGACAUGCUGUUGAAGACAAUGGGCAGACGCGCGGCAAUUGGCAUCAGCUGCAGUAUGGGCUGGUUGCUCAUGCAUGCUCCAGAUGAUGCUGCGAGUUUGUUGUAGUAAGAAUAGAUAGCAGCGUGGUGGUUUCCUGGGAGUUGCAUCAACCGUAGUUGUAAUCGUGUGUUGCUUGAUGUACCAGGCGCGCGGGAGUUAAUUGUGCCCCAGAUUAGAUGAGCAUUAGUUUGUCUCUGGUUAUUCUGAUCCUCGCUGUGGAAGUCAGGAAAAUAUGAACUGGUGAAUUAAGAUUGAGUGAGUUGAUUAAUUAAUCAGAUUGUUCAAGUAGUGGUAGCACAAGAUGUAUUUGUUGGAGAUAAAGCUGCAAAUCCUGUUGCUAUAUACUACAUGUGUCCCUUGAAAGUUUUUGUAGAUUUUUGGAUGUAUCCCGCAAGGUAGAUAGAUAGUGUGUACAUACAUUUAAAUUUAGACAAACCGAAGCCAAGUUUGAUUGGAUGGAGGGAGUAUUAUUUCGAGUGAAAAUCCAAUUGGUUUUACACGUGACAGUGCAGUUGGUGAGUAAGAU
Molecule: long non-coding RNA, 1465 nt
Organism: Lolium rigidum
Lineage: Eukaryota; Viridiplantae; Streptophyta; Magnoliopsida; Poales; Poaceae
Exons: 8
Source: RefSeq, a predicted model, not a curated record